This 472-nucleotide ribosomal RNA is filed under the name uncultured bacterium. RNAcentral describes it as "partial 16S ribosomal RNA". It matches the Rfam family "Bacterial small subunit ribosomal RNA", at positions 28 to 507 of the family's 1533-position model. The record is from RNAcentral.
GACGAACGCUGGCGGCGUGCUUAACACAUGCAAGUCGAACGCUGAAGCUUGGUGCUUGCACUGGGUGGAUGAGUGGCGAACGGGUGAGUAAUACGUGAGUAACCUGCCCUUGACUCUGGGAUAAGCCUGGGAAACUGGGUCUAAUACUGGAUACGACAUGCCACUGCAUGGUGGUGUGUGGAAAGGGGUUUACUGGUUUUGGAUGGGCUCACGGCCUAUCAGCUUGUUGGUGGGGUAAUGGCCGACCAAGGCGACGACGGGUAGCCGGCCUGAGAGGGUGACCGGCCACACUGGGCCUGAGACACGGCCCAGACUCCUACGGGAGGCAGCAGUGGGGAAUAUUGCACAAUGGGCGGAAGCCUGAUGCAGCGACGCCGCGUGAGGGAUGACGGCCUUCGGGUUGUAAACCUCUUUCAGCACGGAAGAAGCGAGAGUGACGGUACGUGCAGAAGAAGCGCCGGCUAACUACGUG